GGGCCGUUAGCUCAGUUGGCAGAGCAGCUGACUCUUAAUCAGCGGGUCCGGGGUUCGAGUCCCCGACGGCCCACCA
This 76-nucleotide transfer RNA is filed under the name Candidatus Rokuibacteriota bacterium. RNAcentral describes it as "Candidatus Rokubacteria bacterium tRNA-Lys". It matches the Rfam family "tRNA". Rfam says of the family: Transfer RNA (tRNA) molecules are approximately 80 nucleotides in length. Their secondary structure includes four short double-helical elements and three loops (D, anti-codon, and T loops). RNAcentral also lists the same sequence under 2 other names. The record is from RNAcentral. Lineage: Bacteria; Candidatus Rokuibacteriota.